Molecule: transfer RNA, 73 nt
Filed under: Desmophyllum pertusum
Lineage: Eukaryota; Metazoa; Cnidaria; Anthozoa; Scleractinia; Caryophylliidae
Description: tRNA-Arg
Source: RNAcentral
GACACGGUGGCCUCAUGGUCAGCGCGUUGGACUCCGGACCGAGUGGUCCGGGUUCGAGCCCUGGCCUGGGUCA